GCCGUCUCCGAAUGCCCUAGAUUAAGUUGAUCAUGGCUCAGAGCGAACGCGNUAGGUAGGCCUAACACAUGCAAGUCGAACGGCAGCACAGAGGAGCUUGCUCCUUGGGUGGCGAGUGGCGGACGGGUGAGGAAUACAUCGGAAUCUACUCUGUCGUGGGGGAUAACGUAGGAAACUUACGCUAAUACCGCAUACGACCUACGGGUGAAAGCAGGGGAUCUUCGGACCUUGCGCGAUUGAAUGAGCCGAUGUCGGAUUAGCUAGUUGGCGGGGUAAAGGCCCACCAAGGCGACGAUCCGUAGCUGGUCUGAGAGGAUGAUCAGCCACACUGGAACUGAGACACGGUCCAGACUCCUACGGGAGGCAGCAGUGGGGAAUAUUGGACAAUGGGCGCAAGCCUGAUCCAGCCAUACCGCGUGGGUGAAGAAGGCCUUCGGGUUGUAAAGCCCUUUUGUUGGGAAAGAAAUCCAGCUGGCUAAUACCCGGUUGGGAUGACGGUACCCAAAGAAUAAGCACCGGCUAACUUCGUGCCAGCAGCCGCGGUAAUACGAAGAGGUGCAAGCGUUACUCGGAAUUACUGGGCGUAAAGCGUGCGUACGUGGUCCGUUUAAGGUCCCGUUGUGAAAAGCCCUGGGCUCAACCUGGGAACUGCAGUGGAUACUGGGGCCGACUAGAAAUGUUGGUUCAC
This 688-nucleotide ribosomal RNA is filed under the name uncultured bacterium. RNAcentral's name for it is "bacterial SSU rRNA". It matches the Rfam family "Bacterial small subunit ribosomal RNA", at positions 1 to 658 of the family's 1533-position model. The record is from RNAcentral.